AUUGAACGCUGGCGGCAUGCCUUACACAUGCAAGUCGAACGGCAGCGCGGGAGCAAUCCUGGCGGCGAGUGGCGAACGGGUGAGUAAUAUAUCGGAACGUGCCCAUUAGUGGGGGAUAGCCCGGCGAAAGCCGGAUUAAUACCGCAUACGACCUGAGGGUGAAAGCGGGGGAUCGCAAGACCUCGCGCUAUUGGAGCGGCCGAUAUCAGAUUAGCUAGUUGGUGGGGUAAAGGCCUACCAAGGCAACGAUCUGUAGUUGGUCUGAGAGGACGACCAGCCAAACUGGGACUGAGAGACGGCCCAGACUCCUACGGGAGGCAGCAGUGGGGAAUUUUGGACAAUGGGCGCUAGCCUGAUCCAGCAAUGCCGCGUGCAGGAAGAAGGCCUUCGGGUUGUAAACUGCUUUUGUCAGGGAAGAAAUCCUUUGGGCUAAUACCUCGGAGGGAUGACGGUACCUGAAGAAUAAGCACCGGCUAACUACGUGCCAGCAGCCGCAGUAA
RNAcentral lists this ribosomal RNA (500 nucleotides) under uncultured bacterium. RNAcentral's name for it is "partial 16S ribosomal RNA". It matches the Rfam family "Bacterial small subunit ribosomal RNA", at positions 30 to 523 of the family's 1533-position model. The record is from RNAcentral.